AGCGGCGGACGGGUGAGUAACGCGUGGGUAACCUGCCCUAUACACACGGAUAACAUACCGAAAGGUAUGCUAAUACGAGAUAAUAUAAGAGAUUCACAUGGAUUUCUUAUCAAAGCUGAGGCGGUAUAGGAUGGACCCGCGUCUGAUUAGCUAGUUGGUAAGGUAACGGCUUACCAAGGCGACGAUCAGUAGCCGACCUGAGAGGGUGAUCGGCCACAUUGGAACUGAGACACGGUCCAAACUCCUACGGGAGGCAGCAGUGGGGAAUAUUGCACAAUGGGCGAAAGCCUGAUGCAGCAACGCCGCGUGAGUGAUGAAGGCCUUCGGGUCGUAAAACUCUGUCCUCAAGGAAGAUAAUGACGGUACUUGAGGAGGAAGCCCCGGCUAACUACGUGCCAGCAGCCGCGGUAAUACGUAGGGGGCUCGCGUUAUCCGGAUUUACAGGGCGUAAAGGGUGCGUAGGUGGUCUCUUAAGUCAGGAGUGAAAGACUACGGCUUAACCGUAGUAAGCUCUUGAAACUGGGAGACUUGAGUGCAGGAGAGGAAAGUGGAAUUCCUAGUGUAGCGGUGAAAUGCGUAGAUAUUAGGAGGAACACCAGUAGCGAAGGCGGCUUUCUGGACUGUAACUGACACUGAGGCACGAAAGCGUGGGGAGCAAACAGGAUUAGAUACCCUGGUAGUCCACGCCGUAAACGAUGAGUACUAGGUGU
RNAcentral lists this ribosomal RNA (710 nucleotides) under uncultured bacterium. RNAcentral's name for it is "bacterial SSU rRNA". It matches the Rfam family "Bacterial small subunit ribosomal RNA", at positions 94 to 823 of the family's 1533-position model. The record is from RNAcentral.